ACCUAAUAGAUACCCUGGUAGUCCACGCCCUAAACGAUGCGAACUGGAUGUUGGGUACAUUACGGUACUCAGUGUCGAAAGCUAAACGCGUUAAGUUCGCCGCCUGGGGAGUACGGUCGCAAGACUGAAACUCAAAGGAAUUGACGGGGGUCCCGCACAAGCGGUGGAGUAUGUGGUUUAAUUCGAUGCAACGCGAAGAACCUUACCUGGCCUUGACAUCUGUCGAAUCCUGCAGAGAUGCGGGAGUGCCGCAAGGAACGACAAGACAGGUGCUGCAUGGCUGUCGUCAGCUCGUGUCGUGAGAUGUUGGGUUAAACGU
RNAcentral lists this ribosomal RNA (319 nucleotides) under uncultured bacterium. RNAcentral's name for it is "bacterial SSU rRNA". It matches the Rfam family "Bacterial small subunit ribosomal RNA", at positions 771 to 1085 of the family's 1533-position model. The record is from RNAcentral.